Piliocolobus tephrosceles (Ugandan red Colobus) is the source of this 6155-nucleotide long non-coding RNA. RefSeq lists it as uncharacterized. The record is from RefSeq and is a predicted model, not a curated record. NCBI's taxonomy places the organism in Eukaryota, Metazoa, Chordata, Mammalia, Primates, Cercopithecidae. The transcript is spliced from 4 exons.
CCCCCUCAAGCCCCGCGCUGUCCUCGGCCCGGCGUGGCCUGCGAGACUGGUGCGGGUGCCUCCGGGCUCUGACCGUUCCGCGGCGGAGGUUGCUCUGCAAAAGGGGAGUUACCUGUGAUGAGAAGUAGUAAGAGCUUAUUGGUAUACUGUGCAAAUGAAGAAAGAUGAAGAAGUGAAGACUGCUCUCACGGUCCUCGUCCAUGAAUCAUUUAAGUCGACGUUUGGAUGCGUUUCCCCCCAGACACGUGCGCGGCGCGCGGAGCAGGUGAAGGCGAACCGUGGGUGUGGUCAGGGGCCGCGCUCCGCAGGGAAGGCUGAAGAGCUGGGAGGGCCGGGGAGACGCCUGAGGGGAUGACAAGCAGUCCAGGCUCGGCAGCCGUAGAGCGAAGGCUGGACGGGGAGGAAAGUAUCGGAAGUAGUAGUUUAAAUGUGUCAACAUUUUACCGGCAGACCAAGCUUGGGGGUUCUAGGAGCCACCACGGGGUAGAGAAAUAGAAAGAAUUACAAGAGUCCGCCUGUAGAAACGUGUCAUCCCGGGGGAAGGAAGCGGCCGGGGGAAGUGGCUGCCUGCUCGCCGGGAGCCGGAGUCCUCCGGGGAAAGAAGUGAGGGGGACCAGACCCCCUGGGAGGACGCCUGGCUCAGAUCACGGAUUCUGCCAAAACGGGAAAGUGGAGGAGCCUCUUCCGAGACGCCAAGGUCUCAGCGGGUUUGCUUAUCAGGAAAAGGCAUUCUAGAGGGGGUAGUGGUAAAGUUUAGGAUGGAGACGGUGGAAGCUUGCGUCAGGGGAGCAAAAGUACAGGGAAAAAAAAAAAACUAAAAAUGAGGCUGUAGAAAAUCCCUUUGGAUUUUGGCCGGGAAUGACAAGAAUGUGAGGUAUGGUAAGAUUAGCAGGCUGGAAAGGUUUUUAAAUGAUUGGUCCCAGCUGUCCCCUGACGGAUUGCACAGAAACCUGCCAAGAGAAGUGGCGAAAUGACCUUUUUCAACCGUAAAUAAGAUUGUAUUGCUACUUUAAGAGGUGGACCCCACCUCUUAUGAUAACUGAUAACAACUAUAACUUUUUUGAAGGUCAAAGACACUCAUAUCCAAAGAAAGUGCUCACUAUAAAAGUCCGAUCAAAAUAUAUUGAUUAUAAAAAUACCAAAAGUUUAAAAAUUAUUUUAAUUCAAUUUAAAUAAAGACAGUAAACAGAUCAGUGGUUGCCAGAGAUUAUCAGAGUGGAAGUGAAGUGUUGAAUUAGGUGGAACAGUGGAUUUUUUAAAAUAGACUUUAGUUUUUAGAAUACUUUCAGGUUCACAGCAAAAUUGAGCAGAAAAUAGUUCCCGUAUGUACCCAUACUCCCACACAUGCACAGAAUCCUCCACUGUCAACGUCCCAUACCAAAGUGGUACCUUUGUUAUGAUCAGUGAACCUACAUUGACACGUCAUUAUCACCCAAAGUUCAGGCCUGGUGGCUAAGUUACCCUGUAAUCCAGCACUUUGGGAGGCCGAGGCAGACAGAUUAUUUGAGCUCUGGAGUUCAAGACCAGCCUGGGCAACGUGGCGAGACCACCGUCUCUACUAAAAAUACAAAAUACAAAUACAAAAAAAAAAUGUCCCCAGGAGUGGUGGUGGAGCUGAGAUUGUGCCACAGCACUCUAUCCUGGGCAACAUUAUGUCAAAAAAAAAAGGGGGGGGAGACAUUAUCUCAAAACAUUCUUGGUGUUUCAUUCUAUGGGUUUUGGCAAAUAUAUAAUGACAUGGAUCCACCGUUACAGUAUCACGCGGAAUAGUUUGACUGCCCUGAAAAUCCUUAGUGCUCCUGUUCAUCCGUUUCUUCUGAGAACACCUGGCAACCGCUGGUCUUUCCACUGCAUGGUUUUGACUUUUCUAGAAUGGCAUAUAAUGGGAAUCUGGGAGUGGCUAGCCUUUUCAGAUUGCCUUCCUUUAUAGUAAUGUGCAUUUACGCUUUCUCCAUGUCUUGUCUUGAUAGUUCAUUUCUUUUUAGUGCUGAAUAAUAUUCCAUUGUCAGGCUGUAACAAUGUUUAUUCAUUCACCAACUAACAGGCAUCCUGGUUGUUUCUGUGUUUAGGCAAUUAUCAGUGAAGCUCCUACAAACAUCUGUGUACAGGUUUUUGUGUGGACAUGUUUGCAACACCUUUGGAUAGAUACCAAGAAGCAUGAUUGCUGGAUCAUAUAGUAAGAGAGCCAAAAAUGGAAGAUAUUUGUGUUCCAUAUGAAUGCCCACCCAAGGGUGACAUCUGCAGAGAAGAAUUUUAAUAAUAGGAUAGAAAAACAUGUUCUGUGGAUGCCAGGCAGUCUCUUUCUGUAGCCAUCCUCAUUGUGCCCAGUGAGUUCAUGAACAAAGCAGCCAUGGUGUCAGGGAUGGAGGUUACACUUGGGUUCAGCAACAUGGACAUCCACCCACUAAGGCCAACCUGGCUACACCCACCACUGGGUGCCCAAUCUGUCAGCGGGAGAGACCGACAUUGAGGCUUCAGGAUGGCACCAUUCCCCAGGACAAUCAGCCAGCUACAGGUGGCAUGGUGGUUACGUUGGACUCCUUCCAUCAUGGUAGGUCGGUAUUUUGUCCUCCCUGGAGUGGACACUUAGUCUGAAUAUGGAUUUGCUUUCCCUGUACACAAUACCUCGGCCAAAACUUAUCCAUGAAUCCACAGAAUGCCGUAUUCACCACUGUGGUAGAUUCCACAAAGCAUUGCUUCUAUCCUAUUCAGCCUGUUCUAUUCUACUCACUGUUCUCUUCUGCCUACUGCUUCAGGAUGGUGGGGAACAUGGUAAGACCAGCGACUUCCAUGAGCCUGUGCCCAUCGCUGCACUUUUUUUUUGCUGUGAAGUGAGUGCCUUGAUCAGAACAGUGAAAUGGCCUUUUGAAGACUCAGAUACAGUGUCAGGCUAAGAGGGGAGCUGCUGUGUUUUCUCGGAUGAUUAGUGCUGGCUACCGGGGGAAAACUGGGCUGCUGCUCCCCCACGGAGGUGCAGAGGGAAGGAACUGGGAGCACACAGCAAGAAAGUGGCCGUUCACAAGCUAGGAUCUGACCCUGCUGGCACCUUGAUCUUGGACUUCCGGCCUCCAAAACUGUGAGAAAAAAAUAAGUAUCCGUUGUUUAAGCCACCAUCUGUGGCAUUUUAUUACGACAGCCCGAGUAGACUACUACAGACGCUAUGUUGCUUCUGAGGCUAUGUUUAAAAAGGCCAUGCAAAUAAACAGGCUGGGCAGCUUCCCAGAGCUGGGAGUUCUCUGGGAACACUGGCGUUAGGGCUGGGAGGCCACUGCAGACACUACAAACGGAAGUCCUGGUUGGCCCAGUCUUCAGCCGCCCAGCCCCACUGCUGGCGCGUGAGUGGGAGGGCCACUGGGGACAAGCUGUGCCCGACAUUGGCAAUCGUGGGGCAGAUAAGAGCUCUCUGCUAUGCCCCUUCUCAGUUCCUGACCACAGGCGGAAUUGAUGGGCAUGAAAAAUGCUGGCUGUAUUUCACCAACGUAGGGGGAUUUUUCUAGUCACACUGGAUAAACUGGAACAAUGGUGUAUGAGCAUUUUUGGAGGAGUCUCUUUUGGGAACCUAUUCGUUUCUCUCCCCAUUAAGUACGUAAGAAGGGAUUUCUAGGUUGAAGAUUAAAGUUGUUAUAAAUAUUUGCUCUAGUUCUCCCACAUGGCUGUCCUAUUUUAAACUCCCCACAGCCAUGUGCAAGAGCUUCCGUCACCCACGUCUUUGCCAACAUUGGUGUGAUCAUCUUUUCGAUGUUAACCCUCCCAGUGAGUGUGAAAGGACGUCUCAUGGUCAUUUUAUUUUCAGUCCUUUGAUUGCAAAUGAUGUUGAGCAUCUUUUCAUUUGCUUACUGGCUAUUCGUAUAUUGUCUUUUGUGAAACAUGUAUUCAAGUCUUUUGCCCAUUUUUAAACACUGUGUUGUUUCUCUUUUUUUAGUUCAUUUGUGGGAAUUCUGUAUAUAUUCCAUAUACAAUACAUUUGUCAGAUAAAUGAGCUGUGAAUAUUUUUUCCCGGUCUCUGUGACGUUAGUAGUUUUCAAAGCUCCACAGAUGACUCCGGCAUGUAGCCAAGGUUGAGACCGUUGGCCUAGUGCUUUUUUCCUCCUUUUCCUGGAAGGACAAAACUGGGGUCCAGUAUGGAGGUUGGGAAUCAAAUCGCCUGGCUUUGACUUGGCUCCAACACUUGCCUACCAUGUGACCCUAGGCAAGUCACUUAAAAUGACCUAAAAUGACUUCUUACCUCCAUUUUCUCACCUCUAAGAUGGAGUUGAGAAUCGGGCUCUGGAAAGACUGUUUUAAUAAUUAAGUGAUCUUAAGCAGAUGUCUCUGCUGCCACUACAUGCACAGAUUAUGAUAUCUGCGGGACAGUAUCAGGUUUCAACUUAAAAUUUCUCAUAGUUACGGAGAAUAUCUUCUAUUUUAGGCAGAAUUUUCAGAUCACCAAUAUUUGCCAUAGAUAAAAGACUAGGAGUGUGGGGGUUAUUAUAACGCUUUAGAUACAUGCGGAAAUUGUACAAAAUAAUAUCUCCAUGGGGUAUUUAUUUGUUUUUUAAUGCCUUGUACUUCAAGUGAAAGAAAGGCGUGGAGGACAGAAACAGUGCAGGCAGCAAGGGCUGGCAGUAGCACGGAGUCUGGCAUUGCAGAUAUCCUAAAUGCAAAACUUCAAGGCUGAAAUUGGCACGAGACGUGUCACAUAUUCAGCAAUCCUAAAUCAGUUCACUCUCAUACUUGGAUUAUCUGAGAAUCAAGGCUCAUGUCUGCAAGCAACUGUCUAAGCCUGCGACAACAGAAAGCUUUAGGUAACAUCAACCCAGGAAUCGAAUCCACACUAAACGUAUGUGACCUUAUCAUCAUAGUGCUUUAAUCAGAGUGAUGUACAUUUAUAGAAUGCUUUCAUAUAUUUAUUUUAGGCUGAUUUAUAGCAACUGUGUAAGGAAAUACUGGAAGAGAUUAUUAGGAUCAUCUCAAUUUUGCAGAUAAAGAAGCUGAGGCUCAGAGGUCACAUGGUUAGUAAGGCUCAGAGCUGGCACAAGAAGCCAGAUCUUCCAACUCCAAGUCCAGCACCUUUGCACACCACACCAGGGCUUCUCAAACUGCAGUUCACUUCUACAGCUCACCUGGGGGUCUUGUUAAAAUGCAGAUUCUCACACAAUAGGUCUGGGAUGGGGCCAAGUGCUUCUUUUUCUGAUGAGCUUCAGGUAGUGCUGAUACUGAUCCAUGGAUCAUGUUGUGAGUGGCCAGGCACUACACCACGCUCCAUUUCAAUCAAUCAACUAGUCAUAUGCCUGGUUCUUCAAUAGUUGUCAUUAUACACUGCUGACUGCAGAACAAAAAUCACUUCCACGUUGCCUUUCAGCUAGGUAUCACCUUCCAAGGGUGAGUCCCACUGACGAGCCCAACUGCAGCUUUGUUUUCCUUAGAUGUGCUCCCCUUUUCCCAGGAAUGUCUAGAGGAGACAAAGCCAAAGACUGCAUCCAGGUGAACAAAGGUCCUUUCCCCAGGAAGCUUCCUACCCUAAUGUUCUUCAAGGGAAGUGAUUGGAGAAACGGUUGUGAGUCAGACUUUUCCUCACAAGAGUUCUGUCCUGGCAGAAAGAGAAAUCAUACAGAAAAUGUCCUUGGCAGCUGGGUGCCCUGUCUCCCCUGUGCCUCCACAGCUCUGUCUACGCUACGUGGAGAAGGGCACCUUCAGCUCCUGAGUGCAACACAGAGAUGGGAACAAACCAAGCCAUUAGCACAAGAAGGGCCAGGACAGCUAAAUUUAGCUAAUUGAACGUCCAAGUUUUGGGAGAAAGAUUAUGGAGUCUGGGCUUCUUUCCCUUUGGCCCAUCUUUAGAACGGGAGGAUGCUCCUUCUUCAGUCCCCUGAGGUUUUCCUGCACCGAGCUCUUGCAUACAACAAGAAUAGCACUAGGCCAUAGAGAAUAAUUUGCCAGGCAAUUAUUAAGUGUUUUCCGAAAGUGAUGUUGCUUUGCAAAAUGUUUUAAAAUAAAUUGGAUGUGCAUUUCCACUUAGAGAUGAAGAGAAGCAUAUCACUUGGCUUCAUUUAAUAAUGAUUUAGAUGAUGGUAAGAAGAGCAAGUAAAUUCAAAUGAGAUUAUUGAUUUUCAUGAUGAUAAAUUAGAAUCCAACAAAAAUAAAUGACAGAUAUUUUUCUAUGUGAAUACGUUUUA